This 297-nucleotide ribosomal RNA is filed under the name uncultured Pseudomonadota bacterium. RNAcentral describes it as "uncultured proteobacterium partial 16S ribosomal RNA". It matches the Rfam family "Bacterial small subunit ribosomal RNA", at positions 29 to 351 of the family's 1533-position model. The record is from RNAcentral. Lineage: Bacteria; Pseudomonadati; Pseudomonadota.
AGCGAACGCUGGCGGCAGGCCUAACACAUGCAAGUCGAGCGCCCGUGGCAACACGGGAGCGGCAGACGGGAGAGUAACACGUGGGAACGUACCCUUUGGUUCGGAACAACCCAGGGAAACUUGGGCUAAUACCGGAUAAGCCCUUACGGGGAAAGAUUUAUCGCCGAAGGAUCGGCCCGCGUCUGAUUAGCUAGUUGGUGGGGUAACGGCCCACCAAGGCGACGAUCAGUAGCUGGUCUGAGAGGACGAUCAGCCACACUGGAACUGGUACACGGUCCAGACUCCUACGGGAGGCAG